Molecule: long non-coding RNA, 1474 nt
Organism: Polyodon spathula (Mississippi paddlefish)
Lineage: Eukaryota; Metazoa; Chordata; Actinopteri; Acipenseriformes; Polyodontidae
Exons: 2
Source: RefSeq, a predicted model, not a curated record
AACCAUUUUGAUUUACACAUUAUUUGUAUUCCCAGAGUAGGCCUGGAAUUUCCAUUACAUCCUGUGAGAAUCCACUUCCAAAACAUAAUUAAAAAAUGAGAGUCAAGGAGUGUGGUCAUUUCACAAGGAGAUUUAUGGUUCAAACUUAAAACUAAAAAAAAAAAAAAAAAAAAAAAAGUUAAAUGCUUUAUUACCUUUUCAAACACAUGAAAAAGCAAUGUUUGUGAGGCAUAAGUUUUUUAUAUGUUUUAAUUAUUAUAAGACAGAAUGCUGGCGACAGAUAAAAAUGCAGUAUUAAAGUGUGUUUUAGGAUUCUUUUUCUUUAUGAAGUAAACCUUUUAGGCAGUAUAGGUCACAUUUAUAAAGGUUUCUCAACUGACAUUUGGCUUUGAACAUAAACCUUAAUUAUUACUAUUUUUUUUUUAAUUGAUAUGUUUCCUUUCAUUUAAAAUGCUGCAAAUUGCAUUUUGGCAUCAAGAGGAUGUUAAAUUAGUGUAUAUGUGCUUGUGGCUUAAAUAAAAUGAACUAGUCCAUUGCCUUGACUAUCCAGUCUUGUGUUAAUGCUUCACAGGAACUGGUGUAAGCAUUGACUAAGUCGAACUACAAAGCACCAAUGGUAGAGUAACAUGUUAUUUAUAUUAGCCUAAGCCAUGGUGAGUUCUGAUCAUGGACUGUAUUAAUCUUCAGUAUCUUAUCCAGUGUUGAUUAAAAUAGGCAUAGAGCUUGUUAUCAGAUGUUCAUAAAAAUGAACCACAGUGGUUAAAGCAUAAUUUAAAAACUCCUCAAAAGUACUUGUAUAUGGUGAUAAUGCAGAGUCUUAGAGCAGCAGGAUGUUGGCAAUUGUGUGAUCAUGUAAACAAGCAUUGGCCAUUUUAAUUGACAUUUUUUAAUCUAUUAUUUCCUGCUUAGGUUAUAACCUGGAUAACUAGAAAUGGAGAGUUUUGGUUCUGAUUUAGUCUUGCAUUGCCAAAUUAAACUUCACAAAGGUGUAUGUAAGAGACACUCUUCUGAAGAGAUCCAGUGCCAUUGACGACAUGACAUUCUUUCAGAAUUUUAAUCUGGACAGUGACCCUCCUCUCCUCCUGUGAGAGGGAUCACACACCCUGGCCCUGCUAAACCAGCUAAGUGUUAACUUUAAGAGCUUGCAACCAGCUGGUGGUGGUCAUGAAGGUCUAGUUCUUACAAAUGAAGGAUCCCUUGAAGAAUAGCGGAGGAAUGCCAUGCCACUGGCGGACAGUUUUCAAGUGUGUCUGUUACUCCCCCUGGGGUAUCAUAAACAACAGAACAAGUCCAAAUAUUUAUUCGAAGCCCCUUUCAUUUAGCAGAAAGACGCCUUAUUCAACAGAUCAUGUGCAUUGGAUUCUGAGAGAUCGCUCCACUUAUUUUAUUUAGUCGUUGUAUGCUAAACAAGGAGGGAUGUGUCUUCUAACCGGUGCGUUUCCUUUACAUCUACCAAUAAAAUAUUCAAAAUUCA